AGAGUUUGAUCAUGGAUCAGGAUGAACGCUAGCUACAGGCUUAACACAUGCAAGUCGAGGGGAAACGAUAUUGGAAGCUUGCUUCCGAUAGGCGUCGACCGGCGCACGGGUGAGUAACGCGUAUCCAACCUGCCCACCACUUGGGGAUAACCUUGCGAAAGUAAGACUAAUACCCAAUGACGUCUCUAGAAGACAUCUGAAAGAGAUUAAAGAUUUAUCGGUGAUGGAUGGGGAUGCGUCUGAUUAGCUUGUUGGCGGGGUAACGGCCACCAAGGCUACGAUCAGUAGGGGUUCUGGAGAGGAACGGUCCCCCANAUUGGAACUGAGACACGGUCCAAACUCCUACGGGAGGCA
Molecule: ribosomal RNA, 354 nt
Filed under: uncultured bacterium
Lineage: Bacteria
Description: bacterial SSU rRNA
Rfam family: Bacterial small subunit ribosomal RNA
Source: RNAcentral